AACGCACCUUGCGCUCCCUGGUAUUCCGGGGAGCACGCCUGUUCGAGUGUCACGAAAUUUGUCAAGCUUGGAUGGCUUUUUUGUCUAUCCUUAGCCCUUGGUUGUUGGGCUUUGCCGUGUCCUUCAUUGGGAACGGCUGGCCUUAAAAGCAUUAGCUGAUCCUUGUGUGGCACUGGUUCUACUCAGCGUGAUAAUAGUCUGAUCGCUGAGGACAUCUUUUGGGAUGGCCAGUUCUCAUUUGGGUUGCUUCUAAACUUGGUUUUGCAGAUUCUUCAAUCUGUGUUCCACUUUUCAGCUUUGACCUCGAAUCAGGUGGGACUACCCGCUGAACUUAA
This 335-nucleotide unclassified non-coding RNA is filed under the name uncultured Clavulina. RNAcentral's name for it is "partial contains 5.8S ribosomal RNA, internal transcribed spacer 2, and large subunit ribosomal RNA". The record is from RNAcentral. Lineage: Eukaryota; Fungi; Basidiomycota; Agaricomycetes; Cantharellales; Hydnaceae.